Molecule: long non-coding RNA, 897 nt
Filed under: Parus major (Great Tit)
Lineage: Eukaryota; Metazoa; Chordata; Aves; Passeriformes; Paridae
Description: lncRNA (ENSPMJG00000010511.1)
Source: RNAcentral
CUCUGUCUGGGUGCUGGGGUGUGCUGGAUGCUGGGAGAGGUGUUGCAGAAGAGGGGGCAGGCUCUUUUCUUAAUACCGGGGUCAAAUGAAAGUUAGACCCUUCUUUACGUCCAAGUAAUUAUCCCUGUUGUCUCUACAGUAAGGAGCACUGGCAGGAACCGUGCCCCUUAGCAGAGAGGGGGCAGCUGCAGUAAAUGCCAGCCAGGGCCAGUUUCGGCAUUUGACCUGGCUUUCACCACAACGACUGAGCCUCGGCGAUGCUCUGAAGGUGUUGUAUUUCAAACAAUCAAGUGCUGAGUUGGGUGGGAUUUGCUGCUUACAGAUAAGGUAGGACGGAAAGCUGUGGGGGAAGGGAAGGAAGGUGUGUGUGUUGCUGUGUGCUGGUUUGGGCAGCUCUGUAGGCUGUGCUUCCCAUCCUACUGCAGAGCUUUGCACAGAGUGAGUUUGGCCUUCGCUCUAUACAGCUGUAAAACCGAGCACCUUCUGACUGUGGCUCUUUUCAAGUAAAAAGUCAUCAUAAGAUGACUUUUUUAACCCCGGCAAGUUCUUUCAAUCAAACAUACAACACAGGUCUCUUUUAAAAGGCUCAAGUGGGAGGAAGUCUCUAAGAUGUCUGCUCCAAACAAAACCACAGCUAACUGCAGUCCCUCAAGGCCUCAUCCAUGUGGAUGAAUUCAAUGAUGUUGUAGUCUUGACAAAGCACCUGGUUUCUUCCAGCUCCUGGACAGAUUCAGGACAUGCAGAUGUGGGGGUACAAGGACAGCAAUGCAGCAGCAAGGCAAGUUACAACAAGGACUCAGAGAUAAUGCCUGGUCUGGUGGACAUCUGCAGGUGAGUGAUCCAGGCUGCAGGCCUCUCCUGGAGUGGAGAAUAUGGUUUCUCAGUGUAGGGCCUGGG